GAUAAACGCUGGCGGCGUGCCUAACACAUGCAAGUCGAACGUCCUUGCUCGCAAGAGCGAGGGAGUGGCGCACGGGUGAGUAACACAUGGGUCACCUACCCCCAAGUGAGGAAUACCGACGAGAAAUCGUCGACAAGACCGCAUACGCUCUCUCUGACUGAGAAGAGGGGAGAGCAAAGCCUUUCGCAAGAGAGGCGCUUGAGGAUGGGCCUGUGGCCGAUUAGCUGGUUGGUGGGGUAAUGGCUCACCAAGGCGACGAUCGGUAGCUGGUCUGAGA
This 277-nucleotide ribosomal RNA is filed under the name uncultured bacterium. Its description in RNAcentral is "partial 16S ribosomal RNA". It matches the Rfam family "Bacterial small subunit ribosomal RNA", at positions 28 to 297 of the family's 1533-position model. The record is from RNAcentral.